GACGAACGCUGGCGGCGUGCUUAACACAUGCAAGUCGAACGGAAAGGCCCUGCUUUUGUGGGGUGCUCGAGUGGCGAACGGGUGAGUAACACGUGAGUAACCUGCCCUUGACUUUGGGAUAACUUCAGGAAACUGGGGCUAAUACCGGAUAGGAGCUCCUGCUGCAUGGUGGGGGUUGGAAAGUUUCGGCGGUUGGGGCUGGACUCGCGGCUUAUCCGCUUGUUGGUGGGGUAGUGGCUUACCAAGGCUUUGAAGGGUAGCCGGCCUGAGAGGGUGAACGGGCACCAUGGGACUGAGAUACGGACCAGACUGCUACGGGAGGCAGCAGUGGGGAAUAUUGCAGAAUGGGCGGAAGCCUGAUGCAGCAACGCCGCGUGCGGGAUGACGGCCUUCGGGUUGUAAACCGCUUUCGCCUGUGACGAAGCGUGAGUGACGGUAAUGGGUAAAGAAGCACCGGCUAACUACGUG
Molecule: ribosomal RNA, 468 nt
Filed under: uncultured bacterium
Lineage: Bacteria
Description: partial 16S ribosomal RNA
Rfam family: Bacterial small subunit ribosomal RNA
Source: RNAcentral